RNAcentral lists this Y RNA (114 nucleotides) under Cebus imitator (Panamanian white-faced capuchin). Its description in RNAcentral is "Y RNA (ENSCCAG00000006419.1)". It matches the Rfam family "Y RNA". From Rfam's summary of the family: Y RNAs are components of the Ro ribonucleoprotein particle (Ro RNP), in association with Ro60 and La proteins. The Y RNAs and Ro60 and La proteins are well conserved, but the function of the Ro RNP is not known. In humans the RNA component can be one of four small RNAs -- hY1, hY3, hY4 and hY5. The record is from Rfam by way of RNAcentral. Lineage: Eukaryota; Metazoa; Chordata; Mammalia; Primates; Cebidae.
GGCUGGUCUGAAGGCAGUGAGCUAUCUCACUUUGAUCGUUCACAGUCAGUUACAGAUAGAACACCUUGUUCUACUCUUCCCCUCCUUCUCACUACUAUGCUUGACUAAUCUUUA